AUUGUUCUCGUUAAAGUGAAGUGGAACCAUCACGGGAUGGAAGAGGCCACAUGGGAACUUGAAGAUUCAAUGAAAGUCAAGUAUCCUGAGCUAGAUUACCAAGGUAUGUAAUUUCGGGGACGAAAUUUUCUUUAAGGAGGGAGGGAUGUAAUACCCCGUUUCCUCGAGCUAAGUUAGAAUACUUUGAACUUAGAUUAAGAUGAUUCGCGCCGGAAAAAGAAAAAAA
This 226-nucleotide long non-coding RNA is filed under the name Salvia miltiorrhiza (redroot sage). RNAcentral describes it as "long non-coding RNA (SMIL_LNC012395)". The record is from RNAcentral. Lineage: Eukaryota; Viridiplantae; Streptophyta; Magnoliopsida; Lamiales; Lamiaceae.